UUUCCUCUUCUACACUUGAUACUCUUUCUUCUUCUGAAAAAUUAACCUAAUUGCCUGGAAGAAACUCCAAUCUGCAAAAAAAGAGAUAAAUUUAAGUUCUCUCUUUCUGUCUAAUUUUUAUAAGUUUAAAUUCCUGGUUUUACGGGGAACUGCCAAACAAAUAAUGCCAUAAGAACACUAUUUCCAGGCGAUCCAAACACUAUUAAGAAAAUGAAGCAAUGAUAUAGGAAAAGGCGAAAAAAUCGAAUUCUCAUUUAUAUAUCCCUAUCUCAGUCUGAGAAUUACAAGAAUAUGGGAAUAAAGUGAUGUUUUUCUUGUAUAAUCUGACAAAUUAAAAGAGAAAAACAGUAUUUCCAGGCGGUCUAGACACUAUUAAGAAAAUGAAGCAUUGAUAUAGAAGGUGAAAAAAUUGAAUUCUCAUUUAUAUAUCCCUAUCUCAGUCUGAGAAUUACAAGAAUAUGGGAAUAAAGUGAUGUUUUUCUUGUCUAAUCUGACAAAUUAAAAGAGAAAAACACUAUUUCCAGGCGGUCUAAACACUAUUAAAAAAAUAAAGCGAUGAUAUAGGAAAAGGCGAAAAAAUCGAAUUCUCAUUUAUAUAUCCCUAUCUCAGUCUGAGAAUUACAAGAAUAUGGGAAUAAAGUGAUGUUUUUCUUGUCUAAUCUGACAAAUUAAAAGAGAAAAACACUAUUUCCAGGCGAUCCAAACACUAUUAAGAAAAUGAAGCGAUGAUAUAGGAAAAGGUGAAAAAAUCGAAUUCUCAUUUAUAUAUCCCUAUCUCAGUCUGAAAAUUAGAAGAGUAUGGGAAUAAAGUGAUGUUUUUCUUGUCUAAUCUGACAAAUUAAAAGAGAAAAACACUAUUUCCAGGCGAUCUAAACACAAUUAAAAAAAUAAAGCGAUGAUAUAGGAAAAGGUGAAAAAAUCCAAUUCUCAUUUAUAUAUCCCUAUCUCAGUUUGAGAAUGCGGAGAGUAUGGGAAUGAAGUGAUGUUUUUCUUGUCUAAUCUGACAAAUUAAAAGAGAAAAACACUAUUUCCAGGCGAUCCAAACACUAUUAAGAAAAUGAAGCGAUGAUAUAGGAAAAGGUGAAAAAAUCGAAAUCUCAUUUAUAUAUCCCUAUCUCAGUCUGAAAAUUAGAAGAGUAUGGGAAUAAAGUGAUGUUUUUCUUGUCUAAUCUGACAAAUUAAAAGAGAAAAACACUAUUUCUAGGCGGUCUAAACACUAUUAAAAAAAUAAAGCGAUGAUAUAGAAAAAGGCGAAAAAAUCGAAUUCUCAUUUAUAUAUCCCUAUCUCAGUCUGAGAAUUACAAGAAUAUGGGAAUAAAGUGAUGUUUUUCUUGUCUAAUCUGACAAAUUAAAAGAGAAAAACACUAUUUCCAGGCGAUCCAAACACUAUUAAGAAAAUGAAGUGAUGAUAUAGGAAAAGGCAAAAAAAUCGAAUUCUCAUUUAUAUAUCUCUAUCUCAGUCUGAGAAUUACAAGAAUAUGGGAAUAAAGUGAUGUUUUUCUUGUCUAAUCUGACAAACUAAAAGAGAAAAACACUAUUUUAAGGCGAUCUAAACACUAUAAAAAAAAUAAAACGAUGAUAUAGGAAAACGUGCAAAAAUCGAAUUCUCAUUUAUAUAUCCCUAUCUCAGUCUGAGAAUUACAAGAAUAUGGGAAUAAAGUGACGUUUUUCUUGUAUAAUCUGACAAAUUAAAAGAGAAAAACACUAUUUCCAGGCGAUCUAAACACAAUUAAAAAAAUAAAGCGAUGAUAUAGGAAAAGGCGAAAAAAUCCAAUUAUCAUUUAUAUAUCCCUAUCUCAGUCUGAGAAUUACAAGAAUAUGGGAAUAAAGUGAUGUUUUUCUUGUCUAAUCUGACAAAUUAAAAGAGAAAAACACUAUUUCUAGGCGGUCUAAACACUAUUAAAAAAAUAAAGCGAUGAUAUAGGAAAAGGCGAAAAAAUCGAAUUCUCAUUUAUAUAUCCCUAUCUCAGUCUGAGAA
Molecule: long non-coding RNA, 1978 nt
Filed under: Anthonomus grandis grandis
Lineage: Eukaryota; Metazoa; Arthropoda; Insecta; Coleoptera; Curculionidae
Description: uncharacterized LOC126735403
Source: RNAcentral